This 253-nucleotide ribosomal RNA is filed under the name uncultured bacterium. RNAcentral's name for it is "partial 16S ribosomal RNA". It matches the Rfam family "Bacterial small subunit ribosomal RNA", at positions 524 to 776 of the family's 1533-position model. The record is from RNAcentral.
UACGGAGGGGGCGAGCGUUAUUCGGAAUUAUUGGGCGUAAAGCGCGCGUAGGCGGCGCGGUAUGUCAAAGGUGAAAUCCCUCGGCUCAACUGAGGAACUGCCUUUGAUACUGUCGUGCUCGAGGCCGGGAGGGGGUAGUGGAAUUCCCAGUGUAGCGGUGAAAUGCGUAGAUAUUGGGAGGAACACCAGUGGCGAAGGCGGCUACCUGGACCGGUUCUAACGCUGAGGCGCGAAAGCGUGGGGAGCAAACAGG